GAUGAACGCUGGCGGCGUGCCUAAUACAUGCAAGUCGAGCGAACGGACGAGAAGCUUUCUUCUCUGAUGUUAGCGGCGGACGGGUGAGUAACACGUGGAUAACCUACCUAUAAGACUGGGAUAACUUCGGGAAACCGGAGCUAAUACCGGCUAAUAUUUUGAACCGCAUGGUUCAAAAGUGAAAGACGUUCUUGCUGUCACUUAUAGAUGGAUCCGCGCUGCAUUAGCUAGUUGGUAAGGUAACGGCUUACCAAGGCAACGAUGCAUAGCCGACCUGAGAGGGUGAUCGGCCACACUGGAACUGAGACACGGUCCAGACUCCUACGGGAGGCAGCAGUAGGGAAUCUUCCGAAAUGGGCGAAAGCCUGACGGAGCAACGCCGCGUGAGUGAUGAAGGUCUUCGGAUCGUAAAACUCUGUUAUUAGGGAAGAACAUAUGUGUAAGUAACUGUGCACAUCUUGACGGUACCUAAUCAGAAAGCCACGGCUAACUACGUG
Molecule: ribosomal RNA, 497 nt
Filed under: uncultured bacterium
Lineage: Bacteria
Description: partial 16S ribosomal RNA
Rfam family: Bacterial small subunit ribosomal RNA
Source: RNAcentral